GAGAUACCCCUAUGGAGCAGGAUUUGCUUUAGUGGGGCUUUGGUGCUCACUGAGUCUGUGCCUUGAAUGUGUCACU
Non-coding RNA from Myotis lucifugus (little brown bat), 76 nucleotides. The record is from Rfam. Lineage: Eukaryota; Metazoa; Chordata; Mammalia; Chiroptera; Vespertilionidae.